Molecule: ribosomal RNA, 572 nt
Filed under: Microthrissa royauxi (royal sprat)
Lineage: Eukaryota; Metazoa; Chordata; Actinopteri; Clupeiformes; Clupeidae
Description: partial 16S ribosomal RNA
Rfam family: Bacterial large subunit ribosomal RNA
Source: RNAcentral
CGCCUCCUGCCCACAACAAUAUAGGAGGUCCCGCCUGCCCUGUGACCAAAAGUUUAACGGCCGCGGUAUUUUAACCGUGCAAAGGUAGCGCAAUCAAUUGUCUUUUAAAUGGAGACCUGUAUGAAUGGCAUAACGAGGGUUUAACUGUCUCUUUUUUCCAGUCAAUGAAACUGAUCUGCCCGUGCAGAAGCGGGCAUAUAAACACAAGACGAGAAGACCCUAUGGAGCUUUAGACGCCCACCAACUAUGAAAAGCAGCCGUCAACUAGGCCCCAAACAACAUAGUCCUGGCACAAACGUCUUCGGUUGGGGCGACCACGGGGGAUAACAAAGCCCCCGAGAAGACAGGGGACAUACCCUGAAACCAAGAGUUACAACUCUAAGUCACAAAACAUUUGACCGAUUAAUGAUCCGGCCCACGCCGAUCAACGGACCAAGUUACCCUAGGGAUAACAGCGCAAUCCCCUCCCAGAGUCCAUAUCGACGAGGGGGUUUACGACCUCGAUGUUGGAUCAGGACAUCCUAAUGGUGCAGCCGCUAUUAAGGGUUCGUUUGUUCAACGAUUAAAGUCCU